Molecule: non-coding RNA, 167 nt
Filed under: Rhodomonas abbreviata
Lineage: Eukaryota; Cryptophyceae; Pyrenomonadales; Pyrenomonadaceae
Source: RNAcentral
GGAAGCUUGUCCACGAUCAUUCAAGCACUUACCAAACUUCGGACGACAGAUCGGAAAGUUUCUUCGUUCAGAAACUCGACCACUUCAAUCGCCAACAAGAUGGCACCUUCAAGCAGAGGUAUUUCAUCAACAACACCCACUGGACCGGCAAAUCCGAGAGCCCCGUG